ACCAUGAGCAUCUCAUGUACAGUGUUUGCAGGUCUCCAUGAUGUAGAGUACAUGUUUUUGUGUGCUGAUCGGAGGUUGUGGUGGUAACGAGUUUCUUGCCAAAAUGAGUGAAUGAGUGAACAAUUAGUGCUGAAGUUGGUUGACGUUCAUGAUAUUCGGUUUCUUGGAGGUGUGAGAGGACCUGUGCAGAUUUUGCUUUGAGAUAAUCUGCUUAGAUUAGGUCAACAACUUCAGGUGGAUUGUUUGGGUGUUGGGUUACAGUUUCCCGUUGGAUUGCAAUACAUGUCUGUCUAUUUUGAGAUGUGGGUGAGCUGUUAUUUCCGUUACGCUGUUUAGAAUGCUCUCGAAAUGCUACGAUCAUACAACCUAAAAUUGAUUCAUACUAGGAUUUGAUGCAUAGAAAUCCAAAACCUCUAGAACCCUAAUCAAAUCUUUUGGAACCCUUCGAAACCUCCACACAAUUGAAGUAUACACCAACAACAGUUAACACGGGUUAAGUUCAUUCAGGAUGUUAAGUUUGUUUUAAGGUGAAAUUCACUAAGUUUUGUUCUUAUGACAUUGAUUACUCCGUUGAACACAGGGGCUUGUGUGAGGCUCCUGCAAGACCUUCGUUUAAGCUGAUUUAGGAGCAGGAUCGUAGGAUGUCACUAGUGCUAGAGACUCCAUGUGGUAUUUUGGCUUGAAAAUAGUUUUCUGUUAGAAGUAUGGGGAUUUUGGUACGUGCACCUUUGUGCAUAUUUCUCUGAUCUAAUCUUGUGUGCCACUAUCUGUAGAGUAUUCUGUUGAGGAUGAUGAUAUCAUCUGCGAAGGGGGCCAGGGAAGCGUAAGGGCUCUUAACAUGCUCCUGAAAGUUGGUUACCAGUGGACUACCUCGCGGUGAGGAACCUGAUCCCGAUGAAUCCGCUUCCACAGCUUCAGUUCAUAUGACCCUACAGUGACAGUUGAGGCAAUCAACGAACAAGAGCCUGACCCAGAUGAUUCUCUUUGCCUCUGGUGGAAAAACCUGAUUCUAGUAAAGAUUUUGACCCUGGCCGGAAUAGGACGCUACAUUUCUAUCAGAAAUGUAGCGACUUUUGCUAGUUUUCGGUACGGGUGACUCCGAUAAGUUGCUCUCGCAGUGGCCGAAUUGGUGCUUCUCUCAGGUGACCACGACUUGAUACAUGGGGUGGUCACAAUUGAUAAUAUUGCAACUGUUUCAAUCCAUAGAUGACUUCUGCCUAGCACAGUUAA
This is a non-coding RNA of Physcomitrium patens, 1230 nucleotides long. The record is from RefSeq and is a predicted model, not a curated record. Lineage: Eukaryota; Viridiplantae; Streptophyta; Bryopsida; Funariales; Funariaceae.